CGUCUGAAUAAGAAUUGUUGGGGGGCGGUAUACCGCCUACAGUGCAGAUCAGACCGAUGAGUACGCCAAUUGACUGAAUCGGCCUGUCCUACGGAGGCAGCAGUGGGAAUUUGCAUGGGAACCUGACCAGCACGCCGCGUGAGAGAGGCUUUCGGUUGUAACUUCUUUACGAGACGAGAACGUGACGUACUCGGAGAAAAGCACGCUACUACGUGCCAGCAGCGCGUAAUACGUAGUGCAAGCGUGUCCGGAUUUACUGGGUGUAAAGGGCGUGUAGGCGAGCAGCAAGUCAGAAGUGAAAUCUCCGGGCUUAACCCGGAAACUGCUUUUGAAACUGUUGCCCUUGAGUAUCGGAGAGGCAGGCGGAAUUCCUAGUGUAGCGGUGAAAUGCGUAGAUAUUAGGAGGAACACCAGUGGCGAAGGCGGCGUGCUGGACGACAACUGACGCUGAGGCGCGAAAGCGUGGGGAGCAAACAGGAUUAGAUACCCUGGUAGUCCACGCCGUAAACGAUGGAUACUAGGUGCGGGGGGACUGACCCCUUCCGUGCCGCAGUUAACACAAUAAGUAUCCCACCUGGGGAGUACGAUCGCAAGAUUGAAACUCAAAGGAAUUGACGGGGGCCCGCACAAGCAGUGGAUUAUGUGGUUUAAUUCGACGCAACGCGAAGAACCUUACCGGGAUUUGACAUCCUGCUAACGAAGUAGAGAUACAUUAGGUGCCCUUCGGGGAAAGCAGAGACAGGUGGUGCAUGGUUGUCGUCAGCUCGUGUCGUGAGAUGUUGGGUUAAGUCCCGCAACGAGCGCAACCCCUAUUGUUAGUUGCUACGCAAGAGCACUCUAGCGAGACUGCCGUUGACAAAACGGAGGAAGGCGGGGACGACGUCAAAUCAUCAUGCCCCUUAUGUCCCGGGCUACACACGUAAUACAAUGGCGGUCAACAGAGGGAAGCAAAGCCGCGAGGCAGAGCAAACCCCCAAAAGCCGUCUCAGUUCGGAUCGCAGUCUGCAACUCGACUGCGUGAAGUUGGAAUUGCUAGUAAUCGCGGAUCAGCAUGCCGCGGUGAAUACGUUCCCGGGCCUUGUACACACCGCCCGUCACACCAUGAGAGUCGGGAACACCCGAAGUCCGUAGUCUAACCGCAAGGAGGGCGCGGCCGAAGGUGGGUCUGAUAAUUGGGGUGAAGUCGUAACAAGGUAAAUCACUGGCCGUCGUAACGCCU
Molecule: ribosomal RNA, 1219 nt
Filed under: uncultured bacterium
Lineage: Bacteria
Description: bacterial SSU rRNA
Rfam family: Bacterial small subunit ribosomal RNA
Source: RNAcentral